UAACCACGUGGCCGUGGGUUCGAUCCCCACAGACGGCGUAAAAACUCUUUUAAGUUUUUUGGGUCCUCUGAUGGUUCUUUAUACA
This 85-nucleotide small RNA is filed under the name Arabidopsis thaliana (thale cress). RNAcentral describes it as "ATSL133810". The record is from RNAcentral. Lineage: Eukaryota; Viridiplantae; Streptophyta; Magnoliopsida; Brassicales; Brassicaceae.